Molecule: ribosomal RNA, 498 nt
Filed under: uncultured bacterium
Lineage: Bacteria
Description: partial 16S ribosomal RNA
Rfam family: Bacterial small subunit ribosomal RNA
Source: RNAcentral
AUUGAACGCUGACGGCAUGCCUUACACAUGCAAGUCGAACGGUAACAGGUCUUCGGAUGCUGACGAGUGGCGAACGGGUGAGUAAUACAUCGGAACGUGCCUAGUAGUGGGGGAUAACUACUCGAAAGAGUGGCUAAUACCGCAUGAGAUCUACGGAUGAAAGCAGGGGAUCGCAAGACCUUGUGCUACUAGAGCGGCCGAUGGCAGAUUAGGUAGUUGGUGGGAUAAAAGCUUACCAAGCCGACGAUCUGUAGCUGGUCUGAGAGGACGAUCAGCCACACUGGGACUGAGAAACGGCCCAGACUCCUACGGGAGGCAGCAGUGGGGAAUUUUGGACAAUGGGCGCAAGCCUGAUCCAGCAAAGCCGCGUGCAGGAUGAAGGCCUUCGGGUUGUAAACUGCUUUUGUACGGAACGAAAAGCCCCGGGUUAAUACCCUGGGGUCAUGACGGUACCGUAAGAAUAAGCACCGGCUAACUACGUGCCAGCAGCCGCCGUAA